RNAcentral lists this ribosomal RNA (844 nucleotides) under Escherichia coli. Its description in RNAcentral is "partial 23S ribosomal RNA". It matches the Rfam family "Bacterial large subunit ribosomal RNA", at positions 1 to 888 of the family's 2925-position model. Lineage: Bacteria; Pseudomonadati; Pseudomonadota; Gammaproteobacteria; Enterobacterales; Enterobacteriaceae. The record is from RNAcentral.
GGUUAAGCGACUAAGCGUACACGGUGGAUGCCCUGGCAGUCAGAGGCGAUGAAGGACGUGCUAAUCUGCGAUAAGCGUCGGUAAGGUGAUAUGAACCGUUAUAACCGGCGAUUUCCGAAUGGGGAAACCCAGUGUGUUUCGACACACUAUCAUUAACUGAAUCCAUAGGUUAAUGAGGCGAACCGGGGGAACUGAAACAUCUAAGUACCCCGAGGAAAAGAAAUCAACCGAGAUUCCCCCAGUAGCGGCGAGCGAACGGGGAGGAGCCCAGAGCCUGAAUCAGUGUGUGUGUUAGUGGAAGCGUCUGGAAAGGCGCGCGAUACAGGGUGACAGCCCCGUACACAAAAAUGCACAUGCUGUGAGCUCGAUGAGUAGGGCGGGACACGUGGUAUCCUGUCUGAAUAUGGGGGGACCAUCCUCCAAGGCUAAAUACUCCUGACUGACCGAUAGUGAACCAGUACCGUGAGGGAAAGGCGAAAAGAACCCCGGCGAGGGGAGUGAAAAAGAACCUGAAACCGUGUACGUACAAGCAGUGGGAGCCUCUUUAUGGGGUGACUGCGUACCUUUUGUAUAAUGGGUCAGCGACUUAUAUUCUGUAGCAAGGUUAACCGAAUAGGGGAGCCGAAGGGAAACCGAGUCUUAACUGGGCGUUAAGUUGCAGGGUAUAGACCCGAAACCCGGUGAUCUAGCCAUGGGCAGGUUGAAGGUUGGGUAACACUAACUGGAGGACCGAACCGACUAAUGUUGAAAAAUUAGCGGAUGACUUGUGGCUGGGGGUGAAAGGCCAAUCAAACCGGGAGAUAGCUGGUUCUCCCCGAAAGCUAUUUAGGUAGCGCCUCGUGAA